UAUUUAAGCUCCCAGGACUGUAGAAGAUUGGCAUUGACUCAGGGAUCUUGCAAUAACAACUCAUAGUUUGGUGGGAGGAAAUAAAACUCAGUGAUUUAACUAAACUACUCUCUUUUAAACAGGACCCUCCACUUUUCCACCAGUUUGUCCACCGGUGAAAAGGAGAAGCCAGCCAAGAACCAGCAGCUUCUGGCUACCUUGAUCAGAAGGUUGAUGAAGGCAAUGAAACAAAGAUGGAAAAACACAUCACACAGGCCCUGACCAGAUGCCAGCAUCUUGAUAUUGGACUUCCCAGCCUUCAGAACUGUGUGACUGACUAGUUGCAGGAAAACAAGCUCAGGGCUCCCACUGAUUCUACAUUUUGAUAAGGCUCCAGUCAAGCAACCCACCUUAUCAAGUGGACCAGGCACAGCUCCUACUUAUCCCUGAGUAGUGGGUAUCAGUUUCCUGCUAACCUCGGAAUUGUUCAAAGCCCAUCACAUUCUCAUGCAGGAACCAGGGAGCACCUCACCCUCUUGUUGCCACAAAGCUUGCCACCCACAGCCCCUGCCUGUUCACCCUGCUCCUGAGGGCAACCCCUGUAUGGCCAGCAUCCCAUGCUGUGUUCACCUCUCCCAAGCUGUGAGUGUAUGUGAAUAAUAACUGCCGUCAAUCGCAUCUGUUAAGCAUCGAGUGUAAUGUGUUUGGUCAUCCUCAUAAUUCUAGUGUGGAAUGUCUCCCUCACCAAUGGGGUGAACAGGAGGGAAUGAAAACAAUGUGUAAAAUAUUUAGACACCGCAAGAUACAUAUUUAGAGCCUGGCAAAUGUUAGUUAAGGCCAUUAUUGCUAUUAUUUUGCAAAAGGAUAAUAAUUUGGUUUUCUUUUAACAAAAUUUGUUUGGGCAGAAUGCUUAGCUCAUAGUGUUAUUCUUAGGUUCCUCCAAACAGCUUUUCUGGAAUUUUGUUUCCCUCAUUAGCAAUUACAAAGAUAUGCUAAUGCUCUGCACCAAGUGGCAGCUACAUGCUUGAGACCAACACUGAAAAUCAGUCAUGGAAUCACUGCAUAUCUGAACAAGGGCCACGAGAGGAGGCACAGAUGGGUCAAUUGACUUGAGCAGAGCCACCCAGCAAAUUCAGUGUCGGAGUAUGGUAACUAGAUCUCCUGAUCCAACCAUCCUUCCCUGCACCCUCCCAUCUAGGCUAAUGAGGAGAAAUGUAAUCGCGGUGGUAAUUGCAGGCAAAGAUGAGCAUCACUUGGUAAAGCAAUAUGUGUACUUGAGUUGGCCAUACGGAAAAUCUAGUGCAGGAUAUGGGGGUGAAUGGUCAGUUGCUGUGUGUCAUUGGUGGGAUGGAAUCUAUGGCCUUCUUGGCUAUUCUUUACAUGAAACAUUUCCUGGGGGUGAUGGUCCAGUUAAAAGUCCUCUUAAAGAUAAAAUAAAACUAACUCAAACCA
Molecule: long non-coding RNA, 1431 nt
Organism: Gorilla gorilla gorilla (western lowland gorilla)
Lineage: Eukaryota; Metazoa; Chordata; Mammalia; Primates; Hominidae
Exons: 5
Source: RefSeq, a predicted model, not a curated record